UACGAAGGGGGCUAGCGUUGCUCGGAAUCACUGGGCGUAAAGCGCACGUAGGCGGGUCCUUAAGUCAGGGGUGAAGUCCCGGAGCUCAACUCCGGAACUGCCUUUGAUACUGGGGAUCUUGAGUCCGGAAGAGGUGAGUGGAACUCCGAGUGUAGAGGUGAAAUUCGUAGAUAUUCGGAAGAACACCAGUGGCGAAGGCGGCUCACUGGUCCGGUACUGACGCUGAGGUGCGAAAGCGUGGGGAGCAAACAGG
This 253-nucleotide ribosomal RNA is filed under the name uncultured bacterium. Its description in RNAcentral is "partial 16S ribosomal RNA". It matches the Rfam family "Bacterial small subunit ribosomal RNA", at positions 524 to 776 of the family's 1533-position model. The record is from RNAcentral.